AGGGGCAGCGAGGGUAGCAAUACCUGUCGGCGACCGGCGCACGGGUGCGUAACGCGUAUGCAACCUACCUUAUACAGGGGGAUAGCCCGGAGAAAUUCGGAUUAAUACCCCAUAUGAUUACGAGAUCACAUGGUUUAGUAAUGAAAGCUGAGGCGGUAUAAGAUGGGCAUGCGUGACAUUAGCUAGUUGGUGAGGUAACGGCUCACCAAGGCGACGAUGUCUAGGGGUUCUGAGAGGAUUAUCCCCCACACUGGUACUGAGACACGGACCAGACUCCUACGGGAGGCAGCAGUGAGGAAUAUUGGUCAAUGGGCGCAAGCCUGAACCAGCCAUCCCGCGUGCAGGAUGACUGCCCUAUGGGUUGUAAACUGCUUUUGUAUACCGAGAAAUGCAGAUACGUGUAUUUGUUUGACGGUAGUAUAUGAAUAAGCAUCGGCUAACUCCGUGCCAGCAGCCGCGGUAAUACGGAGGAUGCAAGCGUUAUCCGGAUUUAUUGGGUUUAAAGGGUGCGUAGGCGGAUUUAUAAGUCAGUGGUGAAAGUUUGCGGCUUAACCGUAAAAUUGCCAUUGAUACUGUAGAUCUUGAGUACAGUUGAGGUAGGCGGAAUGUGUAAUGUAGCGGUGAAAUGCAUAGAUAUUACACAGAACACCGAUUGCGAAGGCAGCUUACUAGACUGUAACUGACGCUGAGGCACGAAAGCGUGGGAUCGAACAGGAUUAGAUACCCUGGUAGUCCACGCCGUAAACGAUGUUCACCCGCUGUUUGCGAUAUACUGCAAGCGGCUGAGCGAAAGCAUUAAGU
This 801-nucleotide ribosomal RNA is filed under the name uncultured bacterium. Its description in RNAcentral is "bacterial SSU rRNA". It matches the Rfam family "Bacterial small subunit ribosomal RNA", at positions 65 to 865 of the family's 1533-position model. The record is from RNAcentral.